RNAcentral lists this ribosomal RNA (347 nucleotides) under uncultured bacterium. RNAcentral's name for it is "bacterial SSU rRNA". It matches the Rfam family "Bacterial small subunit ribosomal RNA", at positions 32 to 369 of the family's 1533-position model. The record is from RNAcentral.
AAUCAACGCUGGCGGCGUGCCUCAGACAUGCAAGUCGAACGAUUAAAGCUCUCUUCGGAGAGUGUAUAGAGUGGCGCACGGGUGAGUAACACGUAAGUAAUCUACCUUUGAGUGGGGAAUAACAGUCGGAAACGACUGCUAAUACCGCAUAAUGCAGCGGCAUCGCAAGAUGACAGUUGUUAAAGGAGCAAUCCGCUUAAAGAGGAGCUUGCGGCAGAUUAGCUAGUUGGUAAGGUAAUGGCUUACCAAGGCUACGAUCUGUAUCCGGUCUAAGAGGACGGUCGGACACACUGACACUGAAUAACGGGUCAGACUCCUACGGGAGGCAGCAGUCGGGAAUUUUGGGU